RNAcentral lists this long non-coding RNA (486 nucleotides) under Nicotiana benthamiana. Its description in RNAcentral is "long non-coding RNA (NBEN_LNC029446)". The record is from RNAcentral. Lineage: Eukaryota; Viridiplantae; Streptophyta; Magnoliopsida; Solanales; Solanaceae.
GAGGUAAUGUCUUGUUUUCUCUUACCACUCAGUAGAGAGAGGAAGUUAGUAUUUACUAGUAUUAUUCAUUUACUGAAGAGUGUUACAAACCCUUGCCGGUUGCCUCAUGUUUCAUUUCUUUUUCUUUUGGACUUUUACAGGGCCACUGGAGGUGGUGAAAAGAAGAAAUGAAACCUGUAUGGUUGAUGAUUGAAGAACCCAGUUUCAGUAGAGGGAUGAAGUUAGUAUUACUAAUAUUAUUCUUUUGCUGAAGAGUGUUACAAACCCUUGCCGGUUGCCUCAUGUUUCAUUUCUUUUUCUUGUGGACUUUUACAGGGCUACUGGAGGUGGUGAAAAGAAGAAAUGAAACCUGUAUGGUUGAUGAUUGAAGAACCCAGUUAGUUAAUUCACUUGCUUUUAUGUUUGCAAUGUAUUUUUGUUUUCAAGAAAGAAGACUUGUGAUUAAAAGCUCCCGGUUUAUGUCCCAUGAAGAUUUUGAAAUUAGUG